GUGAAUCAUCAAAUCUUUGAACGCAAAUUGCACUCCCUGGUAUUCCGGGGAGUAUGCCUGUUUGAGGGUCAUUAGAAGAAAAAUCGAAACAUCGCUCUUUUUUUGAGGGGGAUCGCGUCGGAAUUAAGCCGUCUUUCUAAUGUUAAUUCAUGUCAAAGUGUCUUAAAAUUCAUCCAUCCGGUACGAUUAAAGCGUAUUUAAGAUCAAUUUUGAUCAAGAACGCGUGAUGACGUACCAUCUCAUGGAGUACGUUUGACCUGUGUCAUCAGUUUCAUUCGUAUACGAUACUCACACUUUUGA
RNAcentral lists this unclassified non-coding RNA (300 nucleotides) under Funneliformis mosseae. RNAcentral describes it as "partial contains 5.8S ribosomal RNA and internal transcribed spacer 2". The stretch from base 1 to 71 matches the Rfam family "5.8S ribosomal RNA", at positions 84 to 154 of the family's 154-position model. The record is from RNAcentral. Lineage: Eukaryota; Fungi; Glomeromycota; Glomeromycetes; Glomerales; Glomeraceae.